RNAcentral lists this ribosomal RNA (476 nucleotides) under uncultured organism. RNAcentral's name for it is "partial 16S ribosomal RNA". It matches the Rfam family "Bacterial small subunit ribosomal RNA", at positions 334 to 801 of the family's 1533-position model. The record is from RNAcentral.
CACUCCUACGGGAGGCAGCAGUGGGGAAUUUUGGACAAUGGGCGAAAGCCUGAUCCAGCCAUGCCGCGUGCAGGAUGAAGGCCUUCGGGUUGUAAACUGCUUUUGUACGGAACGAAACGGCCUUUUCUAAUAAAGAGGGCUAAUGACGGUACCGUAAGAAUAAGCACCGGCUAACUACGUGCCAGCAGCCGCGGUAAUACGUAGGGUGCAAGCGUUAAUCGGAAUUACUGGGCGUAAAGCGUGCGCAGGCGGUUAUGUAAGACAGUUGUGAAAUCCCCGGGCUCAACCUGGGAACUGCAUCGGUGACUGCAUAGCUAGAGUACGGUAGAGGGGGAUGGAAUUCCGCGUGUAGCAGUGAAAUGCGUAGAUAUGCGGAGGAACACCGAUGGCGAAGGCAAUCCCCUGGACCUGUACUGACGCUCAUGCACGAAAGCGUGGGGAGCAAACAGGAUUAGAAACCCGAGUAGUCCCAUGAU